GGGCUAAUAGCUCAUUUGGUAGAGCGUUCGCUUUGCAUUCGCUUCACCGUCCGGGCUCCUGCCUAGGAUUUCUCUGAACAAACUCACCUGCGAAAGGUACAGGGUUCAACUCCCUGUUAGUCCA
Non-coding RNA from Microdochium trichocladiopsis, 124 nucleotides. The record is from the annotation of a RefSeq genome assembly. NCBI's taxonomy places the organism in Eukaryota, Fungi, Ascomycota, Sordariomycetes, Xylariales, Microdochiaceae.